CCAGACUCCUAAGGGAGGCAGCAGUGGGGGAUAUUGCACAAUGGAGGGAACUCUGAUGCAGCGACGCCGCGUGAGGGAAGAAGGUUUUCGGAUUGUAAACCUCUGUCUUCGGUGACGAAACGAGACGGUAGCCGAGGAGGAAGCCACGGCUAACUACGUGCCAGCAGCCGCGGUAAUACGUAGGUGGCAAGCGUUGUCCGGAAUUACUGGGUGUAAAGGGAGCGUAGGCGGGAAAGCAAGUUGAAUGUUUAAGGUACGGGCUCAACCUGUACAAGCGUUCAAAACUGUUUUUCUUGAGUGGAGUAGAGGUAAGCGGAAUUCCUAGUGUAGCGGUGAAAUGCGUAAAUAUUAGGAGGAACACCAGUGGCGAAGGCAGCUUACCAGACUGAGUCUGACGCUGAUGCACGAGAGCAUGGGUAGCGAACAGGAUUAGAUACCCUCGUA
Molecule: ribosomal RNA, 444 nt
Filed under: uncultured bacterium
Lineage: Bacteria
Description: bacterial SSU rRNA
Rfam family: Bacterial small subunit ribosomal RNA
Source: RNAcentral